GUCCUCGUUAGGAAAAGUUGGGGCAACCUGUUGCUAGUCCGGUCGUUGGUGACAGCGAGGCUUCCGCGCUCGCUGCUGGUGGGCAGCCUCGGCGCGCCCCGCGGGCUGGAAGAGGCGGAGGCGUGAUGCGGCCCGUGGACGCGGAUGAGGCGCGAGAGCCCCGCGAGGACCCGGGGAGCCCAUUGAGCCCCGCGACCCGCGCCGGCCGCGAGAACCUGGCUUCCCUGGAACGCGAGCGCGCCCGGGCGCACUGGCGGGCCCGCAGGAAGCUGCUGGAGAUACAGAGCCUGCUCGACGCCAUCAAGAGCGAGGUGGAGGCGGAGGAGCGGGGCGCCCGGGCCCCAGCACCCAGUCCGCGCGCGGAGGCGGAGGAGCGGGUGGCUCGGCUGUGCGCCGAGGCGGAGAGGAAGGCCGCGGAGGCCGCGCGGAUGGGCAGGCGGAUCGUGGAGCUGCACCAGCGGAUCGCCGGCUGCGAGUGCUGCUGAGCCGGCGGGGCCGCGCGGGUCUGGAGCGGAGCCCGGCGGGGAGUGUCCCGCGUGGAAGGCGCUGGGUGGCCACCUGACGAACUGUGUUCAUCUGAUAAGGACUCCUGGCUGCUUGGACAGGCUCAAACCAAGAGAGCCUUUCGUUUUGUCUCCCCUGUUUUUCUGCCUGCGUUUUCUCCGCAUUAGCCACUCAAUUUCCAGUACCAUCCUGGUGGAUGACUUCAGCAUUAGAUGGUCAGGUGUAUCUUUUUAUUAAUAGGCGCAUUCAGUUUGGAAAAGACAGCUUUUCAUUAAUGUCCCGCGUAAAGGAAUAUGGCCUAUACAGUACGUACGCUGCGCGUGAUCAUAUUUGUUCCUGUGAUCUCGUUGUAUUUUCAGUUUGGAAAUAUACCCGUGUGCUUUGCUAUUUUUUUAUGCUUCCUGGAAUUUGGGGACUUAAUGAGACACUUGAGGUUAGAGUUCUGCAAGUGAGAAGACACCACAUGGUUGCAGCUGCCACAUCAAGAAGCCAAGCUCCUGUCAAAGUUGUGAAUGCGACUUUGGAUGAGAUUGAGAAGGCCCGGUGGACAGUUGGUCUUGAAGAGUGGCAGUGUGUGGAUUUGAGAACCUCUGCAGACCAUCAGAUCAAAGGAGGGAGAGCUGUUUUGGGUGUUGUGUUUUUUUUGUUUUUAUAGCAUUUUGCUUUUUCCUGGAAUGUAAUUUUCCUAUGGCAUGUUAACUGGUGCACAUCGUGUAACCUGUCUGGUGAGCAACCUACAAUUGGGAUGAGUUCUAGGUACAUGUGUUUGCUGACUUUGGGAUAAACAACUUUGUUAUAAUACAGUCUCUGCCACAGAUGCAUGUGACCUCUUCAGGGGCCCAGAGUGGCUGAGGAAGGAAAGCUUCAAGCUAGCCAUGGGGGUCCCAAACCGUCAUUCCAGGCUUAGAUGAUGUCUAGCCUAGGUCAUCAGAGCCCAGACUCCACAGAGACUAAAAUCAGAGCUCUGUCUUGUUAUGAUAAAGUUCAUUUGCUUGGAAAAACAAAUGCUGAAAGGCAGUUUUUAGAAUCUUUGUGCAGAUGACCAAAGCAAUUGACUUGGCCAAGAAAAGGUAAGAUAAAUAAACAUUUUUCAAAAUGA
This 1603-nucleotide long non-coding RNA is filed under the name Pongo abelii (Sumatran orangutan). RNAcentral describes it as "lincRNA". Lineage: Eukaryota; Metazoa; Chordata; Mammalia; Primates; Hominidae. The record is from RNAcentral.